UGAACGCUGGCGGCGUGCCUACUACAUGCAAGUCGAGCGAACAGACGAGGAGCUUGCUCCUCUGACGUUAGCGGCGGACGGGUGAGUAACACGUGGAUAACCUACCUAUAAGACUGGGAUAACUUCGGGAAACCGGAGCUAAUACCGGAUAAUAUAUUGAACCGCAUGGUUCAAUAGUGAAAGACGGUUUUGCUGUCACUUAUAGAUGGAUCCGCGCCGCAUUAGCUAGUUGGUAAGGUAACGGCUUACCAAGGCAACGAUGCGUAGCCGACCUGAGAGGGUGAUCGGCCACACUGGAACUGAGACACGGUCCAGACUCCUACGGGAGGCAGCAGUAGGGAAUCUUCCGCAAUGGGCGAAAGCUUGACGGAGCAACGCCGCGUGAGUGAUGAAGGUCUUCGGAUCGCAAAACUCUGUUAUUAGGGAAGAACAAAUGUGUAAGUAACUAUGCACGUCUUGACGGUACCUAAUCAGAAAGCCACGGCUAACUACGUG
This 495-nucleotide ribosomal RNA is filed under the name uncultured bacterium. RNAcentral describes it as "partial 16S ribosomal RNA". It matches the Rfam family "Bacterial small subunit ribosomal RNA", at positions 30 to 507 of the family's 1533-position model. The record is from RNAcentral.